AAUCCAUAGGUUAAUGAGGCGAACCGGGGGAACUGAAACAUCUAAGUACCCCGAGGAAAAGAAAUCAACCGAGAUUCCCCCAGUAGCGGCGAGCGAACGGGGAGGAGCCCAGAGCCUGAAUCAGCAUGUGUGUUAGUGGAAGCGUCUGGAAAGGCGCGCGAUACAGGGUGACAGCCCCGUACACAAAAGCGCAUGUGCUGUGAGCUCGAUGAGUAGGGCGGGACACGUGGUAUCCUGUCUGAAUAUGGGGGGACCAUCCUCCAAGGCUAAAUACUCCUGACUGACCGAUAGUGAACCAGUACCGUGAGGGAAAGGCGAAAAGAACCCCGGCGAGGGGAGUGAAAAAGAACCUGAAACCGUGUACGUACAAGCAGUGGGAGCCCCACCACCAAAGCAUUUGCUGUACCGCGUUGACGGAGCGAAGCGACGUCAAACCGAUAAAACAGCAGUGUAAAGUGAGCCGCAGGGCGCUUUGCGCGACAGCGCAAAGGCAGGCGGUUUCGCGUAGCGAAAGCGAAUGCUUUGGGGUGGGGUGACUGCGUACCUUUUGUAUAAUGGGUCAGCGACUUAUAUUCUGUAGCAAGGUUAACCGAAUAGGGGAGCCGGAGGGAAACCGAGUCUUAAUUGGGCGUUAAGUUGCAGGGUAUAGACCCGAAACCCGGUGAUCUAGCCAUGGGCAGGUUGAAGGUUGGGUAACACUAACUGGAGGACCGAACCGACUAAUGUUGAAAAAUUAGCGGAUGACCUGUGGCUGGGGGUGAAAGGCCAAUCAAACCGGGAGAUAGCUGGUUCUCCCCGAAAGCUAUUUAGGUAGCGCCUCGUGAAUUCAUCUCCGGGGGUAGAGCACUGUUUCGGCUAGGGGGCCAUCCCGGCUUACCAACCCGAUGCAAACUGCGAAUACCGGAGAAUGUUAUCACGGGAGACACACGGCGGGUGCUAACGUCCGUCGUGAAGAGGGAAACAACCCAGACCGCCAGCUAAGGUCCCAAAGUCAUGGUUAAGUGGGAAACGAUGUGGGAAGGCCCAGACAGCCAGGAUGUUGGCUUAGAAGCAGCCAUCAUUUAAAGAAAGCGUAAUAGCUCACUGGUCGAGUCGGCCUGCGCGGAAGAUGUAACGGGGCUAAACCAUGCACCGAAGCUGCGGCAG
This 1146-nucleotide ribosomal RNA is filed under the name Salmonella enterica subsp. enterica serovar Enteritidis. RNAcentral describes it as "partial 23S ribosomal RNA". It matches the Rfam family "Bacterial large subunit ribosomal RNA", at positions 161 to 1208 of the family's 2925-position model. The record is from RNAcentral. Lineage: Bacteria; Pseudomonadati; Pseudomonadota; Gammaproteobacteria; Enterobacterales; Enterobacteriaceae.